Molecule: long non-coding RNA, 176 nt
Organism: Octopus sinensis (East Asian common octopus)
Lineage: Eukaryota; Metazoa; Mollusca; Cephalopoda; Octopoda; Octopodidae
Exons: 3
Source: RefSeq, a predicted model, not a curated record
GUAACAUAUCGUUCUUGACAAGCAUUUCUACUUAGAAAACAGACAAGAUGUUGCAGAGGAAUUGUCUUCAAGUUAUUUUUCUCUUCUACAUCUCAUUGACAUUUGGAAAUGGACUUGAAUAUCUGACGUAUUUUAUAAAAGUACAACACUGUGAUCUGAAAGAUGCUAAAACAUUG